CAGAUAAACUCUCAUUUUCUUUUCUUCUUUCUCUUUCUUCUUCUUCUUCUGUUCGUGCGUCAGGCGAUUCUGUGGGAAGUUUUGAGAUGGUGAGAUCAGAAAUUAGAGGAAACAUUAAAAGUUGAGUGUUGGUGAUACUAUUCAUGUUGAUUGGUUAUGAGAAGAAGAGGAGAUGACGAUCUGUAUAGAAACCAGAUAGUUAGGAUUUGAGUUUGGGUUCAAGACAUAGAAUAAUUGAGUAAUUAACGAUGGUUCUGAGUGAUUGGUGAUGAAGAAGAAUAAGGGUUGGUGUUAAUUGAAGAGAUGAAGCAGUUCUGCUGAAGAAUCAAUAAAAGGUAAUUAGGGUUUCUCAGAAGAUUGUUUAGGAAUUUGGGUUUAUGAUGAACUGAUGAAUUGGGAAUUGAAGAUUGAGAAGUAAGAUUAGAGAUGGGUUUUAUCUGAAUUGGAGAUUGAGGUUGAAUAUUAGCUUGAAACUGGCAGUUAAGGUUUGGAUCUCUUUUAUGGAAGAUUUGGGAUUUGAAUUGGAUUAAUUGAGAACCGAUGGUGAUGAUGGGUGCGUUUUGAUGUUGAAUUAACUGAAUUGAAGAGUUGUAGUUGUUCUUGAGAUGAAUUGCAAAAUCAAGACUAGUUUAAGAUGAAGAACCUGAUUUCAGUUGCUUGUGAAUAAUCAUUUAGAGGUAAUUGUUCUUUUCAGCUAACUUUGUAAUGUUAUCUACUUUCAUUAAUGAAGUUUUGAGUUAUGAGUUGUUAUUGGAGAUGUAAUGAAAUUGAGGUUGAGAUACUUAUAGAAUGAAACUGUGAGUAUGAUGAGAAGAUGUAGUAAUCUGAAGUAGAGAUUAUGUUUGCGUUGCUGGUGUUAUUGCACAUAUGUGGAAGUGUUAGUGUUAGUAUACACAAGUGCAGGGAUAGCUGGAAGUUUAUUGUGCAUGUGAAAUGGAAAUGGAAUUGAGUUUGUUACAGGGGUGUGUUGGUUGUUGCUGAGUUGUAGAUAUAUGAAUCAGUUAUGAGAUGAAUGUGUAAUGGAAUUGAGUAACUGUGGUGUUGUGAAGUGAACGGAAUUAGAACUUCUUAGUGUUGCAGAGUUAUAAUAGUAUGUUGAAGUUGCAGGGGAUAUGAGUGAUCUGCUGAAGUUGUGGAGUACAACUUGUGGUUCUAGUGAUGCUGCACAGUUGGUGGUGUUGGAGUGAUCUGGUUUGAGAUAGAUCAUAGGUUGGUUCAAUUGUGGAGUUUGAAGGUGAAUUUUGGAGAAUGAAUUGUGCAGGUGAGAUAUAAAUGAUAGUGGUUUGAAGUUCUGGUAGAAUUAGGUUGAGAUGGUGUUAUGUAGUCGUAGGGAAGUUCUUGUUUUCCAAGACUGGAAGGUGUGUUGAACUGCAAGAGGUAAUGGAUAUGCAGUGUUGUUUGCUGUCGCAACUGAAGUGUAGACUAGAAGUUAGUAGUGUUAUAGUUAUUGGAACUUGAGUGUACUUGGGGGAUGUUUGAGAAGAAGUUGAUUGAAAUGUUGUUAGCAGUGGCCUUAGUGAAAAGCUUAAAGCUGCAAUUGCUGUUAGUCCAUAUUAACAACGGUCGAUCCAAAGGAUGAACCAGUGGAUUGUGGAUCUCGAGGUAGGCGUGGCUUGUCAUUAAAAGAGAGACGGAUCAGAGUUGCGCAGCGGAA
Long non-coding RNA from Papaver somniferum (opium poppy), 1654 nucleotides. RefSeq lists it as uncharacterized. NCBI's taxonomy places the organism in Eukaryota, Viridiplantae, Streptophyta, Magnoliopsida, Ranunculales, Papaveraceae. The record is from RefSeq and is a predicted model, not a curated record. The transcript has 3 exons.